GCCAAGGGGUUCCUCCUUUCUUGUCAUUUAGAAGGAAACUCAUCUUCUUUACCAGGCUGACUUCCAUUGAUGUUGAGAGAAUGGGGAAGAAGCCUUGGAGCGAUACUCAAAUGAAAGGAUCUGAGAUCAGGUUGGGUGAUUGAGUAUUGUGGAGGGUUAGCAAAAGGGUUUUGAGCACCUGAGCUCAGCAUUUGGAAAUGGUUUUGAGAACCAGAUGAUAGAGAUAAGGUGGAUGACAAUGGCACAACAUUGAAAUUGUUUACUUCUUCAGUCUGGGGUGCUACAAAUCCAUGGCUUCCUAAAUGUGGUAAAGGAAAAUUGGAAGGUUCGAAAUGAUAAUAAGAACCAUAUGGCAUCGGCAUC
This 363-nucleotide long non-coding RNA is filed under the name Gossypium barbadense (sea-island cotton). RNAcentral's name for it is "long non-coding RNA (GBAR_LNC015313)". The record is from RNAcentral. Lineage: Eukaryota; Viridiplantae; Streptophyta; Magnoliopsida; Malvales; Malvaceae.